CGUUCCAAACUCGUACCGGAGGCAGCAAUGGGGAAUCUUUGGACAUUCGGCCCAGGCCCGAUCCAGCCUUUUCGGGGUGGGUGAAGCACGCCCUUCGGGUAGUAAAUCCUUUUGGUGGGAAAGAAAUCCAGCCGGCUAAUCCCCCGGUGGGGAUGACGGCCCCCAAAGAAUAAGCACCGGCUAACUUUGUGCCAGCAGCCGCGGUAAUACGAAGGGUGCAAGCGUUACUCGGAAUUACUGGGCGUAAAGCCUGCGUAGGUGGUCGUUUAAAGUCCGUUGUGAAAGCCCUGGGCUCAACCUGGGAACUGCAGUGGAUACUGGGCGACUAGAAUGUGGUAGAGGGUAGCGGAAUUCCUGGUGUAGCAGUGAAAUGCGUAGAGAUCAGGAGGAACAUCCAUGGCGAAGGCAGCUACCUGGACCAACAUUGACACUGAGGCACGAAAGCGUGGGGAGCAAACAGGAUUAGAUACCCUGGUAGUCCACGCCCUAAACGAUGCGAACUGGAUGUUGGGUGCAAUUUGGCACGCAGUAUCGAAGCUAACGCGUUAAGUUCGCCGCCUGGGGAGUACGGUCGCAAGACUGUAACUCAAAGGAAUUGACGGGGGCCCGCACAAGCGGUGGAGUAUGUGGUUUAAUUCGAUGCAACGCGAAGAACCUUACCUGGCCUUGACAUGUCGAGAACUUUCCAGAGAUGGAUUUGUGCCUUCGGGAACUCGAACACAGGUGCUGCAUGGCUGUCGUCAGCCCGUAGAGUUAGAUCUUGGGUCAAGUUCGGGUCCGAGCGCACCCCAUGUCGGAAGUUGCC
Molecule: ribosomal RNA, 805 nt
Filed under: Stenotrophomonas maltophilia
Lineage: Bacteria; Pseudomonadati; Pseudomonadota; Gammaproteobacteria; Lysobacterales; Lysobacteraceae
Description: bacterial SSU rRNA
Rfam family: Bacterial small subunit ribosomal RNA
Source: RNAcentral